Molecule: ribosomal RNA, 546 nt
Filed under: Triticum aestivum (bread wheat)
Lineage: Eukaryota; Viridiplantae; Streptophyta; Magnoliopsida; Poales; Poaceae
Description: partial small subunit ribosomal RNA
Source: RNAcentral
AUGAUCCUCGGCGACAGCCAGCGUGCAUUGUUCUAGGAAGACCGUUGGCUCAAUGGGCGCGCCAUCUCAGAACUAGCGCCACAGCUACACGCCCUCAUCCCCAAACACCGCCGCAAGAGCAGGACGGUGGCAGACGGACUGCAUGCGCACCAAUGGGCAUCGGACAUACAGGGCACCCUUGGGAUCCGCGAGAUCGGCCAAUACCUGCUUACUUGGCAUGCGAUCGAGCACAUCACACUCACUGCCGAGCCGGAUCGCCUGCAUUGGAAGUGGAACGCGGCAGGUACCUACACAGCCACUUCUUGCUACUCUACCAUGUUCAUUGGCUUGCUGCCAGACCCGCACCGGCGGCUAACUUGGAAAACCUGGGCGCCUCGAACCAAGAUCUUCAUGUGGUUGGCUGCCCAAGACUGGUGCUGGGCCGCGGAAAGGCUCGCGCGUCACGGCUUGCCUCACACCGAUUAUUGCCUCCUAUGCAACCAGGAGCCAGAGAGCAUGCAGCACCUCCUGGUUGGCUGCUCCUCUCGCCAGCUUUGGUACGAGUAA